UUCGGCUUCGUACUGGCAAGG
RNAcentral lists this unclassified non-coding RNA (21 nucleotides) under Mus musculus (house mouse). RNAcentral describes it as "oocyte_clustered_small_RNA11667". Lineage: Eukaryota; Metazoa; Chordata; Mammalia; Rodentia; Muridae. The record is from RNAcentral.